UAGGGAAUCUUCGGCAAUGGGGGCAACCCUGACCGAGCAACGCCGCGUGAGUGAAGAAGGUUUUCGGAUCGUAAAGCUCUGUUGUAAGAGAAGAACGUGUGUGAGAGUGGAAAGUUCACACAGUGACGGUAACUUACCAGAAAGGGACGGCUAACUACGUGCCAGCAGCCGCGGUAAUACGUAGGUCCCGAGCGUUGUCCGGAUUUAUUGGGCGUAAAGCGAGCGCGGGCGGUUUAAUAAGUCUGAAGUUAAAGGCAGUGGCUUAACCAUUGUUCGCUUGGGAAACUGUUAAACUUGAGUGCAGAAGGGGAGAGUGGAAUUCCAUGUGUAGCGGUGAAAUGCGUAGAUAUAUGGCGGAACACCGGUGGCGCAAGCGGCUCUCUGGUCUGUAACUGACGCUGAGGCUCGAAAGCGUGGGGAGCAAACAGG
Molecule: ribosomal RNA, 429 nt
Filed under: bacterium
Lineage: Bacteria
Description: partial 16S ribosomal RNA
Rfam family: Bacterial small subunit ribosomal RNA
Source: RNAcentral